GCCGAGGUGGUGAAAUUGGUAGACACACUGCUUUAAGGGGGCAGCGGGAGAAAUCCCAUAGGGGUUCGAGUCCCCUCCUCGGCACCA
RNAcentral lists this transfer RNA (87 nucleotides) under Candidatus Babelota bacterium. RNAcentral's name for it is "tRNA-Leu". It matches the Rfam family "tRNA". Rfam says of the family: Transfer RNA (tRNA) molecules are approximately 80 nucleotides in length. Their secondary structure includes four short double-helical elements and three loops (D, anti-codon, and T loops). Further hydrogen bonds mediate the characteristic L-shaped molecular structure. tRNAs have two regions of fundamental functional importance: the anti-codon, which is responsible for specific mRNA codon recognition, and the 3' end, to which the tRNAs corresponding amino acid is attached (by aminoacyl-tRNA synthetases). tRNAs cope with the degeneracy of the genetic code in two manners: having more than one tRNA (with a specific anti-codon) for a particular amino acid; and 'wobble' base-pairing, i.e. permitting non-standard base-pairing at the 3rd anti-codon position. RNAcentral also lists the same sequence under 1 other name. The record is from RNAcentral.